Long non-coding RNA from Cucumis sativus (cucumber), 3135 nucleotides. RefSeq lists it as uncharacterized. The record is from RefSeq and is a predicted model, not a curated record. NCBI's taxonomy places the organism in Eukaryota, Viridiplantae, Streptophyta, Magnoliopsida, Cucurbitales, Cucurbitaceae. The transcript has 4 exons.
UAUAUUGUGCUAAUAAUCAUAUUUCGCAAGCCCUAGCCCACGCGUACUUCUUCUCCUCUCCACAGUCGAAAUCCUUCUCCUGCGAAAAUGGUGUUCACCGGCCGUCCAUUCGCAAAACCGUUCUUCCGUCCAUUCAACGCCCAUCCGUUCAAUGCUCGUCUGUUCAACGCUAUCUGUUCGACUUUCGCCGUGUUGGUAGCCAGUUCAACGCCGUCCGUUCCUUGUUCAUAGUCAGUUCAACGUUGUUCGUUCUACGUUCGUAGUCGGUCAACGCCGUCUGUACGACUUCCACGUUCAUAGUCAGUUACACCUCUUCGAAUCCCUCACUUCUGCCGUUUCAAAUUUCGUCUGUCCACCCCUUCAUAGUCAGUCCGUUCAUCCGUCCAUCAUCCACUAAGUUGAGAUUGACCAAAGAACAUAUCCAGGCUAUGUGUAAGCUGGUCACCAAGUGUUGUGAAGAUUCCAGACAAAGCAUACGACGAGCUCCUCAAAAGGGGUCAUUGGGCACUGCUGGCCAUAAAUGCGUAUGAUGAUACAGUAUUUUACCUCGACUCACUAAGGACAACAUCGAAGUCAACUACAAGAUACGUCACUGACACGUAAGUUAAUCUAGUAUUUCAUUUAGUGUUGAUUCUUAUAUGCAUGUACACAAUAUUUAAACUAUUUGUUCGUCUCUAGAAACUAGAGAGAUUGUCAAGGGACAAAAAGUGAUCAAUUUUGUUCUUGGAUGAGGCCGUACCUCAUUCGUGUCAAUCUCACAUCCUUUUAGGAUUGUUCUAAGAGAUAUGGAAAAAAAAUACAGCCAUUAAAGAUCAUUAAAAGAAUAGUUAUCAUCAUAAGUGAAUCGCCCGACACUGGGAAGGGUCAUUACUACCGGAAGAGAAGGAAUAAUGAAUGAUUGAGUUAAUAAUCAUAUAAUCAGUGUUGAUCCAAUUUCAAAUAAAUAAGAUACAAGACUUUUCCUUGGUAAAAUUUAAAGAGACUAAUGCUCAAAAUACAAUGAAACAAAGUAAAGUAGUUGUAGCUAUUACGGUCAAAUACUGCCAAUAAUAGCACUUGAAAAUAAAUAGAGGCCCUUAUGAAAGAUCCCAAGACAUAUUGUUCAAAGUUAAUUUUUUUAGUAGUAUUUAUUAUCCUUAUCCAUUUAUUCUGUAACUUAAGCUACAGUAAGAUGUUUUUCCAACACAUAAAUUUUAGUGCUUCAAACAAGAAGAAGUGAAAAGAUCAAAAGUAACGCCAAGAAAAAAAAGUGAAAAAAGGAUAUAUCACAUAUCAAAUGUGUACACUUUCUUGUGAGAUCGGCAGAAUAUCUUCCACCAUUUUGCAAGAUAAGCUUUGACAUCUCCUUGCGCUCACCUGAGACCCAGAAAUGAUGGAACUAACACAAUUUCAUCGGAUGUCCCCAAGAGCACCAUAAAUAAGAAGAAAUACAAGAAAACAAUUUUCUCUGAGAAUAAAUAAAAUAUUAUAAAACACAACCUGCAGGAAUUCCAGAUACCGAAAUAUUCAAUCCAGAAAAUGGAAGGACCCGAUAUCCCUCCUGAGGCACAACACAAUGUUCAAUCCAGCAUUGUUGUAACCAAGAAAAUGACACGAUUGGUUUCUUUGAAAUGUUUAGUGCCCACUGAAAACAGAGAAAAUAAUAUGAAAGUAUCUGUCAAAACCUUUGCAAUAACAUUUCAGGUAGAAUAAAACUAAAAACCAUUAUUAAGUCUAUUACACAUUUAACAAUUAAAUUAAGGGAGAAUAUCAAUUUAUACCCCUAAACCUUAGAGAUUGUAUCAAUUUAAACCCUGGCUUUUGUUAGUGUAUCAAUUUACGCCCUCUAUUACAUUCUUUUUUGAAAAAUUUCGUGUGAAACUUAUAAUUAUAUCAAUUAGAUCAAUUUAAAGGUAACCGUGAUUAAAGGUCUAAAUUGAUUUAAAAUUGAAUUUUGUGGAGUUUAAUUGACUCAAAUCUUAUGAUUCACGUGAUAUUCAUGAAAUGGUCUAAAUACACAUACAUAUCACGUCAAGAAAAUCGAAAGUUCAAGCAACACGACCUUGUAUUUCGCAGCCAAAGUAUUCUUCGCGAUAACAAAACUGACAUCUAGUGAUGCUUUCGUAUGCAAUACUCCCCCCAUUGCACUAACUAACUUCCCUAUCUCAACCUGCAAUGCAACUUUGUGUCAUUAGUUCUACAAAAAUAAAAUUACUAAUUACUAAUAAGAACAUUUGCAACGUACCUUUUCAUCUUCCUGAAAAUCGGAUGCCAAGAUUUUCACACCAUCCAUGGCAAGGCAGCAAGUAUAACCCUGUUGAGGAAGAGGUCUGUGCUCUUUUUGCACAUGACAUCACGCACUGAGGACCUUCCCAACAGAAAUUCAAGUUGUCAGCGACGCACCAAAUCCACGACGUCGAACUGAAAUGAGAAUUUCAACCAACUAGGUUUGGCUAUUCGGAAAGAGAGAGCAGUGAAGUAUAUAUUACUCGGCUACUGCGUACAUGCAGCAUGCACUGACAAAUAUUAGCUGCAAUUCGGUAACUAUACCUUUGACAAAUUAAUGGAGACAUUCAAUUUCCUGUUAAUCUCAUUCUCCAGUCCAAAAUUUCUCUCCAAUUCUUUUCCGCAAAAGAAAGAAAGAAAAGGCUGGAACUACAAAUUAACUAUACCUAACAAGUUGCAUCCCUUGGCGCGAAGAUCCUCGAACUUUGCCUGAAAGCAGGAAUCAACAACUAAUAAACACAUUGCAAAUCCGAAGUAGCCAUAUAAAUUGAACAAGAAAUCGAUGAGACGUUUCGUACGUGAUUGGCAGAGGAGAUAACAUGAUAAUCGUUAGGGGCGUUUUGAGAGGGAUCGCAACAGAGGAAAACCUCAGCCCCAUUCUGCUUGAAAGUGUCGUGAAAAGCAUCGAACAUCUCCGGUGCGACAAGAUUACGAGAGAGGAACACAUUAGCUCCGACAAAUGGCUUGGGCUUCAGAAUUUGGAGAGUUGCUUCGAUUACUUUCUGUGUCGAUGGAAGUCCGACGAGAGAGGAUUUUGUGAGAAAUUGGAGGGAAGAAAGAUUGAGAGUGUGAAUGGCGGAAGGGUUUUGUGAAAUGAAGUUGAGCUUUUGUAGCACAUUCACCGGGUGCUUGGCGUUGAUAUUUAAAAAA